UACGUAGGGUGCAAGCGUUGUCCGGAAUUAUUGGGCGUAAAGAGCUCGUAGGCGGUCUGUCGCGUCGGCUGUGAAAACCUAGGGCUCAACCCCGGGCCUGCAGACGAUACGGGCUAGCUAGAAUUCGGUAGGGGAGACUGGAAUUCCUGGUGUAGCGGUGAAAUGCGCAGAUAUCAGGAGGAACACCGGUGGCGAAGGCGGGUCUCUGGGCCGAUAUUGACGCUGAGGAGCGAAAGCGUGGGGAGCGAACAGG
RNAcentral lists this ribosomal RNA (253 nucleotides) under uncultured bacterium. RNAcentral describes it as "partial 16S ribosomal RNA". It matches the Rfam family "Bacterial small subunit ribosomal RNA", at positions 524 to 776 of the family's 1533-position model. The record is from RNAcentral.